This 468-nucleotide ribosomal RNA is filed under the name uncultured bacterium. Its description in RNAcentral is "partial 16S ribosomal RNA". It matches the Rfam family "Bacterial small subunit ribosomal RNA", at positions 28 to 507 of the family's 1533-position model. The record is from RNAcentral.
GACGAACGCUGGCGGCGUGCUUAACACAUGCAAGUCGAACGGAAAGGCCCUGCUUUUGUGGGGUGCUCGAGUGGCGAACGGGUGAGUAACACGUGAGUAACCUGCCCUUGACUUUGGGAUAACUUCAGGAAACUGGGGCUAAUACCGGAUAGGAGCUCCUGCUGCAUGGUGGGGGUUGGAAAGUUUCGGCGGUUGGGGAUGGACUGGCGGCUUAUCAGCUUGUUGGUGGGGUAGUGGCUUACCAAGGCUUUGACGGGUAGCCGGCCUGAGAGGGUGACCGGCCACAUUGGGACUGAGAUACGGACCAGACUCCUACGGGAGGCAGCAGGGGGGAAUAUUGCACAAUGGGCGGAAGCCUGAGGCAGCAACGCCGCGUGCGGGAUGACGGCCUUCGGGUUGUAAACCGCUUUCGCCUGUGACGAAGCGUGAGUGACGGUAAUGGGUAAAGAAGCACCGGCUAACUACGUG